CCGGCUACCAUGCAGUCGAGCGCCCCGCAGGGGGAGCGGCAGACGGGUGAGUAACGCGUGGGAAUCUACCCAUCACUACGGAACAACUCCGGGAAACUGGAGCUAAUACCGUAUACGUCCUUCGGGAGAAAGAUUUAUCGGUGAUGGAUGAGCCCGCGUUGGAUUAGCUAGUUGGUGGGGUAAUGGCCUACCAAGGCGACGAUCCAUAGCUGGUCUGAGAGGAUGAUCAGCCACACUGGGACUGAGACACGGCCCACACUCCUACGGGAGGCAGCAGUGGGGAAUAUUGGACAAUGGGCGCAAGCCUGAUCCAGCCAUGCCGCGUGAGUGAUGAAGGCCCUAGGGUUGUAAAGCUCUUUCAACGGUGAAGAUAAUGACGGUAACCGUAAAAAAAGCCCCGGCUAACUUCGUGCCAGCCCCCCGGGGAAUAAUAAA
RNAcentral lists this ribosomal RNA (435 nucleotides) under uncultured bacterium. RNAcentral describes it as "bacterial SSU rRNA". It matches the Rfam family "Bacterial small subunit ribosomal RNA", at positions 43 to 529 of the family's 1533-position model. The record is from RNAcentral.